GCGAGGAUGGCGGAAUUGGUAGACGCACCAGCUUGAGGGGCUGGCGGCCGCAAGGCUGUGGGGGUUCGACUCCCCCUCCUCGCA
RNAcentral lists this transfer RNA (84 nucleotides) under Deltaproteobacteria bacterium. RNAcentral's name for it is "tRNA-Leu". It matches the Rfam family "tRNA". Rfam says of the family: Transfer RNA (tRNA) molecules are approximately 80 nucleotides in length. Their secondary structure includes four short double-helical elements and three loops (D, anti-codon, and T loops). Lineage: Bacteria; Pseudomonadati; Myxococcota; Myxococcia. The record is from RNAcentral.